AUGUUACUCAUGGUUUGUGCUUUAUGACAGUCAGUGGAUGAUUCUUCUUGCAUUUCUAGGAAAGCCAUGUUGCCAUUAUUCUAUUUUUAAAUAUCCGUGAGUGGCAAAUUUGAACUACUGAAAACCAUGUUACCUACCCAAUUUUCUCCCAAUAAAAGACAUUUAGGAGGUAGAAUAUAUGUAUCAACAGGUAAAAAUGUUAAUAUCAUGAUUAGCACAUUUUAUAUUGGCAAGAUAAGCUUUAUGAAUACUUACAUGCAGUCAGAUAGUUAAAAAAAGGAAUUAAAAUAAGUCAGACAAAGCUUCCUGACACUGUCCUUCCUGAUGAUUUGGUCUGUUUCUCUCAUUGCAUGUGUUUUUUUAAACACUUAGCUCCCACCGAUAAUGAAUAGCCACCUCUUUUUGGCUACACUUUGAAUAUAUUGCAGAACUAGACACAUCAGGGUAGCUCCAACCCUCACUAAAUGGAAUUGAAAAUACCAGAAACCCAAGAUAAGCAAGAGGAUUACUAGAUAGUAACCUAGCAACACCAGUCAAGCAACUGUACUCUAGUUACUUCUUAUGUUUGUUAAACCUCCUGUGAUGUCAUACACUCUAUGAAUCAUGUUGUACAUACUGAAGGCGUGCACCUGUAUCGACAACAUCACAAAGAUUCUGAGAAGGAAAUCAGAGGAGCAUUACUUGAAGAGAAGCAAAUGUGAAUUUGUGAAGUGCUUUCACCUCUUCAUUCAUUCCUUCAACAAAUACUUUUAAAGCACCUACUAUGUGCCAGGAACUAUGGAGUAUUAUAGAGACACAGAAGAAAGCAAGAAAAAUUGCUGACUCAGCUCUCAUGAGGAUGAGAAUCUAGGGGAAGAAAUAGACAGAAACUAAACCAAUAAUAAAAUGGCAAAUAUGGUGAGUAGAAAAGCCUAGACAACUCUCAGAAAAGAGGAGGUGGUGUUAGGAGAGUCUUCUCAGAAGUAAUGGUUGAGCUAAAGGAUGAGUUAAUACAUGGUAGAUUAAGGGAAGGAUGUGUCUAAUGGAAGAAAUGAUUUGUGCAAAGGCAUCGAGGAGAUAGCAGCAC
This 1066-nucleotide long non-coding RNA is filed under the name Macaca mulatta (Rhesus monkey). Its description in RNAcentral is "lncRNA (ENSMMUG00000050303.1)". The record is from RNAcentral. Lineage: Eukaryota; Metazoa; Chordata; Mammalia; Primates; Cercopithecidae.